RNAcentral lists this small RNA (28 nucleotides) under Bombyx mori (domestic silkworm). RNAcentral describes it as "ovarian small RNA-17525". The record is from RNAcentral. Lineage: Eukaryota; Metazoa; Arthropoda; Insecta; Lepidoptera; Bombycidae.
GGGGAUAAAAAAGGUCUCGUCGCGCAGC